Molecule: long non-coding RNA, 261 nt
Filed under: Hordeum vulgare
Lineage: Eukaryota; Viridiplantae; Streptophyta; Magnoliopsida; Poales; Poaceae
Description: long non-coding RNA (HVUL_LNC006749)
Source: RNAcentral
UCUCAGAGCCGCCGUAAGCGGAUCAGUUGUCCCAUUGUAAACCACCGCCGAUGUGUCCAAAUAGAAGCCGGUGUGAUCUCGGCAUAUGGCAGCUACAACACCACCAUGCCUUCGGCGAGCUACUGCUCCAUCAGGAUUUAUCUUCAUCACAUUAACAGGAGGUGGAAGUCAUCCCUUCAGUUCAGAAUUUUGUCGCACGCCCCUUGGUCCUCUUGCCUUUGGUUUUGACAGUUGCUCCAACUCUCUGAUGAAAUUGUUCAC